This 2092-nucleotide long non-coding RNA is filed under the name Triticum aestivum (bread wheat). Its description in RNAcentral is "long non-coding RNA (TAES_LNC021226)". The record is from RNAcentral. Lineage: Eukaryota; Viridiplantae; Streptophyta; Magnoliopsida; Poales; Poaceae.
UCCGUAUGGAUUUGUACCGAGCAUGUUUUCAUAGACUAGACAUUACUCUGUUUUUUCGAUAUGGUUUUACUCGUAACUUUUCAACAAUUUAUUCUAUCAUAGUCCCGAACUUGCAUGCUUUAUAUCGUUGAACUGAAUGAUAUUCUUUCAGAUAGAAAUUUUUCGUGCGUUUAUUUUUUUAACUCAUUUUUUUGCAAUUAUGUUUUGGACUUCUCUCAUUUUACAACAUGAACUUUUAUCAUUUGAAUUUCCGUAGGGUUUCUUUUUGUUUGAGAUUAUUUGCCAGAUUAUCUGGGACGUCGUGUUGAACUUACAACAUCCUCACCACAAGAAAUAGAAGCAGCAACCGUAAUAUAUUUUUGCACAUACAAGCAUACAUAAAUUUACAACAUAGUAUAUCCUGAUACAUAGUUGGACGGAUGCUCUAAGAUUUUUAGAACUGAUGAGGAACAAACAUUAAAAAUCAACUAGGAUUUCUAGAGAAGUUCCAUGCUGUAAUGAGAAAGUCCAACACAGCUCUCAGAUAGUCACUCUGUAGAUCUCCAAAACAUAAAGCAUCCUGAGCUACCAAACGGUAACACUGGAAGGCUACAGUUUCACAUGUCUCAAAUGUAGAAAGUGUCAUUAAAUGGCCACAACUUUGAGUGGCUAGUUGGAACGCCAGCAACUGAACGGGCUCUAGUGGUGUUGUUGAACGACCUAGGUGGCCAAGUUUGAAUGAAACCUGCAAGAUGAACCCAAGGGGAGCACCUUCACCUGCAAGAUGAACAGAAAAUGCACACUAAGGUGACCUGAAGAAUCACCUGAUGUUGAACUGAACAUACACAAGAUAAGGAGAUGAACAUCCAGGGGGAGGUGUGGGGAAAAGCUAGCACCUCCUUUAGCUGUGUAGAACGGCUUAGCGCUAUGUUGUAGAACGGCUUAGCGCAUGUGCACCGUACCAUCGACGUUGAACUUGUUGAGUUCUGAUUUUUGAACCUUCGCAGUAGUAAUACAUGUACAUGCUUCUGUUGUUGAGGAGCUAAAAUACGGAAACAAAAACACUCUUGGGUGGACACACAAAAUCAUGAUAAAAAUAGUGGCAGCAAGAAGCAAUCAGAAGUGAAUACGCAGUAGUACUAUAAUGGAAUAUUAGUCAGAAUUGAAGUCCAGAUAACUAUGGCACACCUAUCAUACAAUAAUUUUGAACUUACAUAAUCCUGAAACAGGAACUUCAUUUUUUUUAAAUUAGCAAUUCUGAAUGCACUAGCGAUGUAAUUGAAUUUUUUAGACCAUAGUAAUUGAACUUCAAGCAUAUUUCUUUAUAAACCAUUUGUUUUUUCCAGUUGCACAAUAAUUAUCUCCUUCUCAGUAGGACUCAUCAGAAUUGUAGACGGCAUCCUUGUCAAUACGACUCAUCAGUACUAGUGCUCUUUUUUCCAAAAAAAGUGUUAGAAUAGAAGCAUUUUUCCUAUAUGGAUGUUACUUUUAAUGUAAACCUUUCUUACCAUGGAAAUUAAUGUAACAAUAAGCAAUGAGAGAUACCUUCAUAGGUGAACAUACAGUUGCGAGAUCACGAGUAACAUGAAGUAAAUUUUUCACUAAACUUUUGUGAAGAAAAUACAUUAAGAAACUUAGUGCAGAAACAAAAAUUUACGAUAAUGGUGCCAGCCACGCGACAUCCAAAUUAAGCUAAUGGCCAUCUUUGCGCUCAUUUGUAUGUAAAGCACUCAUUCGACAUGAGCUCCUUUGAGGAAGCUUGCAUGGUCUAGAGAAAGCAAGUUCUUUGUAUGUAAAGCACCCUACAGACAUUUUGUGCAUAGUAUAUACUGCAUGAGCUGAUCACAUACUCCGUAUACUACUAGAACGGAGUAGCUAGUACUACAGUAAUAAUAAAUAUACAAGAAAUGAAUGGUUUUACUUCUCCUUAAUACUGAAACAGACAUGAGAAUCUAAUCCUAAAAGCCUGCAAUAUGAACCAAAAAAGCCAACAAGAUGAGCUGAAAAAAACCUACAAACCUGUUGAUUUGGUUUUGUAAGUACAUGUGCUAAACUGAUAUAGUUUAAGUCAAUGACCUGUGGUAAAAUAAGUAAUAGUACUGCUACUGGCUUU